AUUGAACGCUGGCGGCAUGCCUUACACAUGCAAGUCGAACGGCAGCAUGGAGAGCUUGCUCUCUGAUGGCGAGUGGCGAACGGGUGAGUAAAGCAUCGGAACGUACCGUGUAGUGGGGGAUAACGUAGCGAAAGUUACGCUAAUACCGCAUACGCACUGAGGGGGAAAGCAGGGGAUCGUAAGACCUUGCGCUAUACGAGCGGCCGAUGUCAGAUUAGCUAGUUGGUAGGGUAAAGGCCUACCAAGGCGACGAUCUGUAGCGGGUCUGAGAGGAUGAUCCGCCACACUGGGACUGAGACACGGCCCAGACUCCUACGGGAGGCAGCAGUGGGGAAUUUUGGACAAUGGGGGCAACCCUGAUCCAGCCAUGCCGCGUGAGUGAAGAAGGCCUUCGGGUUGUAAAGCUCUUUCGGCCGGGAAGAAAUCGCACAGGCUAAUACCCUGUGUGGAUGACGGUACCGGCAUAAGAAGCACCGGCUAACUACGUG
Molecule: ribosomal RNA, 488 nt
Filed under: uncultured bacterium
Lineage: Bacteria
Description: partial 16S ribosomal RNA
Rfam family: Bacterial small subunit ribosomal RNA
Source: RNAcentral